This 382-nucleotide ribosomal RNA is filed under the name uncultured eukaryote. RNAcentral describes it as "partial 18S ribosomal RNA". It matches the Rfam family "Eukaryotic small subunit ribosomal RNA", at positions 592 to 976 of the family's 1831-position model. The record is from RNAcentral.
CAAUAGCGUAUAUUUAAGUUGUUGCAGUUAAAAAGCUCGUAGUUGGAUUUCUGGUUGGAGCGACCGGUCGGGCAUUGAUUUGUCUGCACUGGAGUCGGUUCUGGCCAUCCUCUUGGAAAGUGCGUCUGUCAUUAAGUUGUCGGGCGUAUGAUCCAGGUCUUUUACUGUGAAAAAAUUAGAGUGUUUAAAGCAGGCCUUCGCCUUGAAUACAUUAGCAUGGAAUAAUAAGAUAGGACUUUGGUCUAUUUUGUUGGUUUGCAGACCGAAGUAAUGAUUAAUAGGGAUAGUUGGGGGUAUUUAUAUUCCAAUGUCAGAGGUGAAAUUCUUAGAUUUUUGGAAGAUAAACUUAUGCGAAAGCAUUUACCAAGGAUGUUUUCAUUAA